UUUAUGGUUGUUUGUGUUCGAUCGACAUGGUUAGGCUUAGGAUUGGAGUUUGUGGUAGUUAGGAAUGUUGUAGAGGAGGUUGAGAGGAAGAUGCUGCCAAUUUUUGGUGAGCAUAGGAGGUCGCCGGAAAACGGCUGCCGGCCGCCGCCGGUUAGGAGUAUUUUUAGGGUUUUAAAUGUGGAAUAUUAAGAGGAGUAUAUUGGUGUGAUUUAUGGAAUUUUUGGAUGAGUUUUGGAUAGGUUUGUGAAUUUCCGAAGUUUGGUAUUUUUGGCGGUUAAUUAAUGUAGAAUCCGGCCGUAGGAUUUAAGUCGUAUGUUGGGGAGGUUGUAUUUACGACUGUUGAGUAUGAUAUUUAAGUUCGGAUCGUUCCGAUGUAAGAAUAUCGAAGUUAGGCAAUGAUGAGCGUAAUUAUGGCUCUCGGGUAAUUUUGCCUAUUUUGAUUAAAUAUUGGAUUAUUUGGUUGGGAAUUAAUAUUAUAUUUGGAACAGGUCGUGAGGAGGCUCGAGCAGACGAGACCCCAUAUCGACAUCAGGCUUAGGCCUAAUUUGUGAGUGGACUUUUAUUUUUAUUUGAAAUAAUAUGCAUGCACUACCAGGACAAGCACUUUAGCCGACGAAAAAUUUUCGUCGGCCUGUUAUCUUAAUUCGUCGGCUAAGAUCUUAGCCGACGAAGGCUCGUCGGCUAUAGUGUCGUCGGGAAAAGCUCGUCUGUGAUGACUUUAGCCGACGAAAUUUUUUUUUCGUCGGCUAUAGUCCCACAGUUAGCCGACGAAAAACAUGUCGUCGGUUUUUUUCAGACUUUAGCCGACGAAACAAUUAAUAUAUUCGUCGGCUAAAGUGUGUAAUAAAUAAUUAAAAAAUAACUAUAGCCGACGAAAUAUUUUAUAUUUCGUCGGCUAAACCUUAUAAAAAAUUUAAAAAAAUAACUAUAGCCGACGAAUUAUGGCAUAAUUCGUCGGCUAAACCUUAUAAAAAAAAUUUAAAAAUACUAUAGCCGAUGAAUAUAGUGUUUAAAUAUCGUCGGCUAAAGUUUCUGGGUUUUGAAAAAAAAACUAGCAGAAACUUUCGGCCACCUCCAAUCACGACCAAAAUUUGACAGAAUCUUCCUCUCAACAUUUCGAACAACUUUGUAGAAGAAGUCGAAGCUCAAUUCUAAGCCUAAACAGGUCAAUCGACUGAAAAUAUAAAAAUCCCCAAUUUUAAACCCUAAAAACUUCAAAUCUUCGAUUCUCUUCACACACACCGAAUCGAGCUACCAAAUUCUAGGGGAAUGUAGUACUAAUCAAACUCAACUUAUCCAUAUAUAGAACUCACCAAAUGGUGACCUAAGGAAUGAGAAAUUGGAUCGACACCGAAUCCGAACCGGCGGAGUUUUGGAGCUCGAUUUAUCCCUCACGGCGGCGCCACUCGAUGCACCACCUAUCCAGCAAUGAAGUAGAGACGACGGCGAAGCUUUUGGGACAAGUGUGACGAUCUCCGGUGGCUUGACGGCGGAGCUAGGCCGAGAAGAAAAUCUGGCAGAUAAUAGACUUCUUACCAUCCAUCUUCGCCUAUAUAAAGAACUUUAGCCGACGAAAUUCUUUAUUUUCGUCGGCUAAACUCUUUUGAAAAUUUUGGUUGACCGCCAAAAAAAUUUUGGUUGAAAAUUUUGAAAAUUUUUCGACUUUAGCCGACGACUUUUCAUAUAUUUUCGUCGGCUAAAGUCCUUUGAAAAUUUUCCUCCAACUUUGGUUUACCGCUUAAAAAAUUUU
Molecule: long non-coding RNA, 1750 nt
Filed under: Fragaria vesca (wild strawberry)
Lineage: Eukaryota; Viridiplantae; Streptophyta; Magnoliopsida; Rosales; Rosaceae
Description: long non-coding RNA (FVES_LNC004235)
Source: RNAcentral